This 253-nucleotide ribosomal RNA is filed under the name uncultured bacterium. Its description in RNAcentral is "partial 16S ribosomal RNA". It matches the Rfam family "Bacterial small subunit ribosomal RNA", at positions 524 to 776 of the family's 1533-position model. The record is from RNAcentral.
AACGUAGGACACAAGCGUUGUCCGGAUUUAUUGGGCGUAAAGAGCGUGUAGGCGGCCAGGUAGGUCUGCUGUGAAAACUCGAGGCUCAACCUCGAGACGUCGGCGGAAACCAUCUGGCUAGAGUCCGGAAGAGGAGAGUGGAAUUCCUGGUGUAGCGGUGAAAUGCGCAGAUAUCAGGAAGAACACCCGUGGCGAAGGCGGCUCUCUGGGACGGUACUGACGCUGAGACGCGAAAGCGUGGGGAGCGAACAGG